CUGUGAACCUAAAAGUGCUGUAAAAAAUAAAGUCUGAGAAGAAAAGAGAACAAGUGAGCUUCAUUAGGUAGCCAUGGGGUUAACUGCAGCUGGCCCCGCUUACUAGCUAUGUAAAUAGUAAGUAAAGAUCUCUAAACCUCGGUUUUCUUAUCUGAAAAAGCGUAGCACAUCUGCAGAGUUUUGGCUAAUGGCAGACAUCUUGGAGAUUACCUCAGUGCUGGCCACGUGGGCAUUUGAUCAGCUGAGAUUAUAGUGACUUGAGAAAAAUGGACUUGCUCCAUCUCUGUUUUUUCACACUUCCGUUUCCUCUACGCCGUUUUGGCAUAUUGACAUCACUGAGCAAAUUACACAUAGCUUGUCCUGGUUCCAAAAGUUUGUGGCUGAUGAAAAGUGACAAAGGGGAAACUGGGAAAGGAAAACAACGUGCAGUGAGCAGCAGUGUUAAAGACCCAGAAGUCAGCACUGCAGUUCCCAAAGGGUGUCAGCUCCAGUUAGCCCACGGCUCACCUGACAAGGUGGUGGGGGGCAGCCACCUGCCACCCAGGAUUUUCAUGGAGAAGCUACAUAAACAUCCUCCUGGAGUCCCAGUGCAACCCCUCCUGGAAGUCUUCGGGGGACAACAAGCUAAGUUUCCACCGCUUAAGGCUUUCUCCACACCCUACGUUUUGCUGAACUCCACCCUUGGAUCCAGGCUUCCUGUAAAUAUUUCAUGCCGCCCUGCUCCCCACAAGGACAGAUCUGUCAAAAUUAGUGAGGCCGCUACACUGAAUCCAGGUUUGCUUCGCCAGCUUUCUGUGUCAGCUCUGCGUCGGGAGGUGAUCCCGCUCACGCCGCAUAGCCUCCGUGGCAACAGAUUGCUGGCUGCAACAAAGCCACCUUUGGAACCGAAUUAUUGCCUCAGUUUCUUCAUCUAAGGAAAUAGGACUGGCCAUAGCCCGGAUCUCCCUGCGUUACCUUCACUCACACUUCCAUUUGUCCUCUGAAAGCUUCAAAGCUGUCCCUCCCCCGAGAGACACUAUCUUCUACUCGAAAAUUUCCCUUUUCCAAAUGAGAUCCUUGUGUUAAGAACAACCUUGAGCAUGGCUCGCUGUGAAAGGCAGUGGAACACACUUUCACCGCGAGUAACUUCAAAGGAAAAAAAACACUGAGU
This 1150-nucleotide long non-coding RNA is filed under the name Fukomys damarensis (Damara mole-rat). RNAcentral describes it as "lncRNA (ENSFDAG00000028322.1)". The record is from RNAcentral. Lineage: Eukaryota; Metazoa; Chordata; Mammalia; Rodentia; Bathyergidae.